This 253-nucleotide ribosomal RNA is filed under the name uncultured bacterium. RNAcentral describes it as "partial 16S ribosomal RNA". It matches the Rfam family "Bacterial small subunit ribosomal RNA", at positions 524 to 776 of the family's 1533-position model. The record is from RNAcentral.
UACGGAGGGUGCGAGCGUUGUCCGGAAUCAUUGGGCGUAAAGGGCGCGUAGGUGGCGGGACAAGCGUGCGGUGAAAGCCUGGGGCUCAACCCCGGGUCGGCCGUGCGAACUGUUUUGCUUGAGCACUGUAGAGGCAGGCGGAAUUCCGGGUGUAGCGGUGGAAUGCGUAGAGAUCCGGAGGAACACCAAUGGCGAAGGCAGGGUCCUGGCUGGUAGCUGACGCUGAGGUGCGAAAGCCAGGGGAGCGAACGGG